ACAGCAGCCGCCACGGGAAUACGGAGGGUGCAAGCGUUAAUCGGAAUUACUGGGCGUAAAGCGUGCGUAGGCGGUUCGUUAAGUCUGUCGUGAAAUCCCCGGGCUCGACCUGGGAAUGGCGAUGGAGACUGCAAGGCUAGAAUCUGGCAGAGGGGGGUAGAAUUCCACGUGUAGCAGUGAAAUGCGUAGAUAUGUGGAGGAACACCGAUGGCGAAGGCAGCCCCCUGGGCUAAGAUUGACGCUCAUGCACGAAAGCGUGGGGAGCAAACAGGAUUAGAUACCCCGGUAGUCCCUGUCUCUUAUCC
RNAcentral lists this ribosomal RNA (305 nucleotides) under uncultured bacterium. RNAcentral's name for it is "partial 16S ribosomal RNA". It matches the Rfam family "Bacterial small subunit ribosomal RNA", at positions 508 to 809 of the family's 1533-position model. The record is from RNAcentral.